CCGGAAGUACGAUUAUCUACUCGUUAUGAUGUUCAUUUUGUGGGGCCCAGGCCCAGCAGCAAUAUUUUAAAUUGUAAAUUGCAACUCUAAGGAUCCAUUGGAAGCAUAGCAGGUUGAAGCCCAGCAGUCGACGAUUCAGAACACGAGCGGGGAUUUGACCUGAGCCAAGUUCCAUAUAAUGGGGGAUAUCAGAAACAGGCCGCGAAGUUGGCGUCCCAAGAAGACGACUAUUUCAUCACCCUGUCAGCACUUAGGUGCCGUAGGCUGUCUUCUACAGAUUUGCAGUCAAGGUUUGCAGGACGAUAUGGCCGACGGCUGUCUGCCCAGACAAUCCGGAAUACACUACACACAGCCAAUACCCGGUCUCAUAGGGCUUUAGGAAGUCCUGCCAUGACUGCCCUUCCCCGUCAGGCCCGUUUGCGCUGGUGUCUGCACCACGUGCACUGGAACCUGAACAUGUGGAGGAACGUUAUGUUCAGUGAUGAGUCUAGAUUCUGCCUACGGCAGUUGGAUCGUAGGGCAAAGUGUGGAGAAGACGUGGAAAACGCUAUGCUGAUGGCUGCACCGAUAGAAUAACAUAUUUUGGUGGAGGCAGUGUGAUGGUGUGGGGCGGCAUCUCCCUCACUGGAAAAUCUCUGCAUUGAGAUUGGAGGCAAUCUCAAUGCAGAGAGAUAUAGAGAUGAGAUUCUGCAACCAGUGGCAAUCCCAUAUCUCCACAGUCUGGGACCGAACUCUAUCUUCUAAGAUGACAACACUCGCCCACACAGGGCGGGGUUUAUCAGAGACUACCUCCAGAAUGUGGGAGUGGAGAGGAUGGAAUGGCCUGCUAGCAGUCCUGAACUCAACCACAUUGAAAACUUGUGGGAUCAGCUUAGGCGUGCUGUUCGUGCCAGAGUGACCAACACAACCACGUUGGCUGACUUGUGACAAAUACUGGUUGAAGAAUGGGAUGUCAUCUCACAGCAGUGUAUGACCAAAUACUGGUUGAAGAAUGGGAUGCCAUCUCACAGCAGUGUAUGACCAGGCUGGUGACCAACAUGAGGAGGAGGUGCCAGGCUGUUGUGGCUGUGUAUGGUUCUUCCACACACUACUGAGGCUCCUGUUUGUGAAAUGAAUAAAUUGUUAAAUUGGCAAUAUGUCUUGUUUCCUCAAACUUCAAUCAUCCAAUCCACCAAACCAAACGAGUCAAUGGCAGAAUGACCUGUUUGGCAAUGGCAGAAAAGAUUUGGCAAAUUUUUCAUGGGCGCAACCCACAUACUCAGCGCUGCUGCUCAUCCCACAAAUGCAUGUUCCUUACAAAUGGGGCACCAUUUGAAAGGGAACUAAACAGGCUUUCUAACGGUAUAAGAUUUAUUGCCAAAAAGCAGUGUUACCACAGAGAAA
This is a long non-coding RNA of Gadus chalcogrammus (walleye pollock), 1383 nucleotides long. RefSeq lists it as uncharacterized. The transcript has 3 exons. NCBI's taxonomy places the organism in Eukaryota, Metazoa, Chordata, Actinopteri, Gadiformes, Gadidae. The record is from RefSeq and is a predicted model, not a curated record.